CGGUGAUUAAGAAGAGACCAGUCAG
This 25-nucleotide unclassified non-coding RNA is filed under the name Mus musculus (house mouse). RNAcentral's name for it is "oocyte_clustered_small_RNA8935". Lineage: Eukaryota; Metazoa; Chordata; Mammalia; Rodentia; Muridae. The record is from RNAcentral.